This 468-nucleotide ribosomal RNA is filed under the name uncultured bacterium. RNAcentral's name for it is "partial 16S ribosomal RNA". It matches the Rfam family "Bacterial small subunit ribosomal RNA", at positions 28 to 507 of the family's 1533-position model. The record is from RNAcentral.
GACGAACGCUGGCGGCGUGCUUAACACAUGCCAGUCGAACGGAAAGGCCCUGGUUUUGUGGGGUGCUCGAGUGGCGAACGGGUGAGUAACACGUGAGUAACCUGCCCUUGACUUUGGGAUAACUUCAGGAAACUGGGGCUAAUACCGGAUAGGAGCUCCUGCUGCAUGGUGGGGGUUGGAAAGUUUCGGCGGUUGGGGAUGGACUCGCGGCUUAUCAGCUUGUUGGUGGGGUAGUGGCUUACCAAGGCUUUGACGGGUAGCCGGCCUGAGAGGGUGACCGGCCACAUUGGGACUGAGAUACGGCCCAGACUCCUACGGGAGGCAGCAGUGGGGAAUAUUGCACAAUGGGCGGAAGCCUGAUGCAGCAACGCCGCGUGCGGGAUGACGGCCUUCGGGUUGUAAACCGCUUUCGCCUGUGACGAAGCGUGAGUGACGGUAAUGGGUAAAGAAGCACCGGCUAACUACGUG